UACGGAGGGGGCUAGCGUUAUUCGGAAUCACUGGGCGUAAAGGGCGCGUAGGCGGCCUGAUAAGUAGGGGGUGAAAUCCUGCGGCUUAACCGCAGGGCUGCCUUCUAAACUGUCUGGCUAGAGCACGGUAGAGGCAGAUGGAAUUCCCGGUGUAGCGGUGGAAUGCGUAGAGAUCGGGAAGAACAUCAGUGGCGAAGGCGGUCUGCUGGGCCGUUGCUGACGCUGAGGCGCGACAGCGUGGGGAGCAAACAGG
RNAcentral lists this ribosomal RNA (253 nucleotides) under uncultured bacterium. Its description in RNAcentral is "partial 16S ribosomal RNA". It matches the Rfam family "Bacterial small subunit ribosomal RNA", at positions 524 to 776 of the family's 1533-position model. The record is from RNAcentral.